GCUUCAGUCUCAGUGUCUCUGGUUGUAAAUGACUCUGUGACAGCUGCACGACUGGAGGAGCAGGAGGAAGCUGGAAGUGCAGCGAACAGACCAAACCUCUUCUGGUGGCAAUUAUGAGAAACGUGGAGCUGUGAUUUUUUUACUUUUUAAUUCCUCAUCCAUUUGACUUCAGACAAGAUUGAAAUGAAUGCAGUGCAAAUUCUGCAACUUCAUUCACGCCAAUGACACACUAAACACUACCGCCUUCAUCACAGCCCAUGGUGUCAGAGGUUCAGGAGAGGUGGCCUGCUCUGUUCUGUGAAGCAGAGAUAAAGGAAGAGUUUUAACAAGAACCUGAUAGACAGCUUCAGAGCAGCCAUUCAUCAAUCAAUCAAUCAAUCAAAUUUUAUUUGUAUAGCCCAUAUUCACAAAUCACAAUUUGUCUCAUAGGGCUUUAACAUGGUGUGACAUCCUCUGCC
Hippoglossus stenolepis (Pacific halibut) is the source of this 458-nucleotide long non-coding RNA. RefSeq lists it as uncharacterized. NCBI's taxonomy places the organism in Eukaryota, Metazoa, Chordata, Actinopteri, Pleuronectiformes, Pleuronectidae. The transcript has 3 exons. The record is from RefSeq and is a predicted model, not a curated record.